This 4116-nucleotide long non-coding RNA is filed under the name Olea europaea subsp. europaea. The record is from RNAcentral. Lineage: Eukaryota; Viridiplantae; Streptophyta; Magnoliopsida; Lamiales; Oleaceae.
UUUUAAGUUUGCAGUUAUACCUCUUGUUGGUAUGCAUUUUUUUAGUGUUAUUAUUUCAUUCUAAUUCUUAUGGAUUCUAUUCCUUUGUAUGGGACUUUUUCACUGGUUAUAAAUUUUGGCUUCUUUGAAUUUUCACUUUCAUAUUUAUUAAUUUUUUUUGGUAAAUAUUUUAAAAAAUGAUUGAUAAUAUUGAAUUAUCCUAGACCUUCUAUAACAUAAUAAAUUGAUGUACUAAUUUGUUAAAUUCAAUUAUUCAGUAUUCUGUUUCUUAAUUUAGUUGAUUAAGUAGGUUAAUUAUUUUUUUAUCCUAAUCUGGAAUAUAUGUGCCCGGAAUGUUGCUGUGAGCAUAUUGCCUGUCAAGAAGAAUCAUUUGAGUUGAGGACGAUAAGAUGUUACAUUUUUAAGCUAUGCUGUUUUUCAGCUCACUCCAACUUGAACUCGGUACAAUUUUAAUUUUUUGAAUUAAUUCAGUUUCCUUCAGCUGAUGAAUUAUUGCAGUAUCUGUGUGAGUUUGUGUGGUUAUUUCAUAUUUGCCUGUGAUUUUGUAUUAAUCAUUUGAGUCGAAAUCCUGAAUCGGGUUUAUAAUCAGUUUUUGGACUCAAAUUGCUGAUUUUAAGAUGUGUUUUUAUAGUAAACUAAUUGCUGAUGUCAAUAUUCUUUUCAUUAGUUUUGGGUUGAUUAGUUAAUAAAUUCUUCGGUAUUUUACUGUUUGGGGAUUUCAGCAUGUGUUUGAUUAAUUGGUUCUAUUCUUUUUUAUAUCGUAUGUGCUGACUUCAAUUUGGCAAUUUCUUGGGGAUAUCUUUUUUAUCAAAUUGUAUUUUCGCGGAGUUCAACAGUGAAAAUGUGAAAUAUGUCCAAUUAUUUGAAUUUUUGUUGAUAUUUUGAAAUUGAUAUUAUGUAUUGAUGAGCCAUCAAGUUAAAAUUAAAAAGAAUUCCAAGUUGCAAAUGCUAUUUGGAAGUUGAAUUUGCUCUGCUAGGUUGCAGAGUAUACUUGAAUUUAUUUUAUCAAAAGAUGAAUAUUUAUCAUCUCUUAGUUUCCCCUUCUUUGUCAUAUAUCUUUACGAAAUUGUUGUAGAAAUAUUUAGAUGAUAAUUGGAUUGUGUUGAUAAUGUACUUGGAAGAUCAUACGAGGAAUUUCAGGGAAAAAAGGGUUUGUUGCUUGUGUCCAUUUUAUUUCAGGUGUCCGGAAAAAAAUGUUGAGUGUGGAAAGUAUAUCCAUCCUUGUGCGUUUGGGUCUGUUAUUCAUAUUGAUAGUUGACAUUCCAUGUGAGGAAGCAUAUUUCACAUAAAACAUAUAUUCACUUUGUGUUGUUAGGUAACUAUUGUAGCUUUGCACAUCUGCUUUCGUAAUGGUUUAUUGUUGCACAUUUUAUAGGCUAAUGUUGCUAGAAGAAAUCGAAUUUCUUUCCGUUCAAAUGAUGGAAUGAUGAUUGAUGGCGUUAAAGAUUACUCUCACCUGGUUGCUGAAAUGAUAUGAUUGUCGUAAGUUUUAACUUACUAUGAAUGCUUUUAGUUUUCGUCAACUGCAACUCUAUUAUGUAUUUUGAGCCGAAUAUUUUUAAAUAACAGCAUCAACAUAAUUAAAUUUAUUUUACUCUUGAAACGACAAAUAUGUUUCCUCUUCCUUUUUGAUGAAAGUUAAAUCACAAUAGAUUUGUCUUUUAUAUGAAGAUUUUCUUCUUCUGAAUUGCUGUUGCGCACUGUACUUGAUAUUGGUUGCGGGUCUGGUAGUUUUAGUGCUCGUCUUCUAUCGCUUAAGCUGAUGUGUGACAGCAUAUGAGCCAACAGGUAGACAUGUUCAAUUGGCACUUGAUAGAGGUCUCCCUUCAAUCAAAACUUAAUCUAAAGACAGGUCCCUCUUCAUCCUUUGUCAUAUGAAGUGGUUCACUGCACUCAAUGUAGCAUUGUCUGGGAUAACAAAGGUAUGAUCCUCAUUAAGGUUUGGGGUUUUGUUUUUUUCCAUUAAAUCACCAUUUCUUCAUCAGAUUAAGUGCAGUGGUUUUUAUUGAUUUUUCACCGAUGAAAAUACUUGAAAUUAAUUUGACAUUUAGCCUAAUGUAUUGCGAACUUUUCUGAUCCAAACAAGAAGGAAAAGAAAGCGAAUGAUCCAAACAAGCCAAAGAGACCUCCAAGUGCUUUCUUUGUUUUCAUGUAUGCCCAUUUGCAUUUUUGGUCUCUAUCAUUUCUGUCUAUUGUUCUUAUAUAUUACCUUUUUUAUGCCGCUUGGCAGACUACAACAAUAAUUUGGUAAUCCAUCUAUGAGAAGCACGGUGUUAUACACAGUUUAGUUUGAAUUGUGAUACUGAAACGACUUGUGCCGAACUGUUUUUAUAGGCUAGAGGGGCUGUUGAAUUCGACAAGGCAAAGUCUGAGGUUAAUGGUGAUGAGGACGAUGAGAACAGUGGAGACGUUAGUUGAAAUUAAGCUAUACAACUUUUUUGUACUUGAAACUUUGCUACUAUGUUGACUUUUUAUUUUGUUUUAAUUAAUUUAGGGGGAAGACGAUGAGUAAGCACUAUUACAGAAAACUGGAUUUUGGAUUCAAGGUGAGAACCAACAAUCAAUCUUCCUUCAUUAUUUGCAUUUAUGGCUUCAGGUUUUGUAAAAUGUUCGAUUUGAAAGUGAGUUAAUUGGAUUGGUAGAUUUCAUGAAGAAUUAUUGUGUAAAAUUUGGCUUCAGGUGAAUUUUACUGAAAUUAAUUGAAAGUAAUUAUCAAUAAUACUCCUUUUUUAAUUUUUAUUUUUUAAAGUUGCUAAUGUGUUUGUUCUUCCUUUCAGUGAGGGAACAAGCAUCUCUUUGCCAUUAACUUGGGGCAAAAAAAGAGAGGAAACGUAUGCCUUGUUUUUCAUUAUUGCCUAUUGGUACACAAGACGUAUUUAGAGGAAAGGGGUGGAGGAAGAGGGGGUUGAGUGCUUGUAGACCAUGAGCAAAAAUGGCAGACUACAAUAAGAAUUUGGUAAUUUCAUCUAUGAAAUUCUCUAUUACAAUGCACUACGUGCAUCUCACAUGCGAAGAACUAGUUCGAUAAAUAUUCAAUAUUUUGCAGCAAGCUUCAUAUCUUGUUAAAUUUUGAAGGUCCUUCCUUUUGUGAAAUCAUUUAAGUUAAAAAUGUUAAGAGAGAAAAACAUUAAUUUAUUAAUAUCUUCAAAACUCUUCUUAUGGUGCAGGUAGAUUUAAUUUUUCUAUAAACAUUAAAUUUCUGACUUUGAUGGGGAUGAUGUUAUUAUUUUACAGAUUUUCAUCUGGUCGUCCAUUACCAAUACAAUUUCGAGACUCGAUUUGAUUAGAGACUAAUAGCUCAGUCAUCUACCAGGUCAAGAAAGUUAUUAAUUGGGUUAGUUGCUGUAAGCUUGUGGGCUGACCACCUAUAUGCCUGCUUUGCAUAUAUUUCGUUGCCAGCUCCAAUCCACAUCAUUUGAUGACGUGUUGUUUACAACAAAUUUGACUUGUACACAAUAUCUGUUAUUACGAGAGUUAGAGAGAGAGGCCAAUUCAAACCAUCAUUUGGUGACACAUUUUUUAAGAGCAAUCGUGGAACCUAUAUUUGUUAAGUGAAGUCAAUGUUAUGCUGAAGCAAACAAAAGAUUAUGACGAUUGAGGAUAGUCAAGUUCACAUUUCACUUCUUAUCUUUCCAUUCUCUCUCUUUUAGAGUAAAGAUCAUUUGUAGUAUUUCGUGGCUACCAAAUAUUCAAAUACUCCAGGGAACAUUGUAGAUGUAAAAUUCUGCAUUAUAUAAUAGGAGGAAUUUCUUUUUUUUUUUUUUUUUUCCUAAAUGGAUUAUCAGGUAAGUUGUCAUUAUUUGCAAUAGUAAUAGGCUUUUUAUUAUGAUGUGCAGUUGCACAUGUCCAUGUGUGUCCACGUAUACUUGUGUGUGUAAAUGUGGAAUAAUGAUAUUUACAAUCUAUUCUUACCUAUUAGCAAUUAGCAUUCUAUGUAGAUGUAUUGUUACUGCCACAUUUUCCUAUAAUUUUAGAGUAGGGAUAUUUGUAAGCAUCGUACUGAAAACAACAAUCUAUAUGACAAUGAGAUAUCUGUCUCAUUCUCCUAUGAAAUUGAGUUCGUUUUAAUUUAUUGAAGAAUGUGAUAGUGACCCCAUUAUUACAUCAAAUGUUGGU